This is a long non-coding RNA of Megalobrama amblycephala (Wuchang bream), 598 nucleotides long. RefSeq lists it as uncharacterized. Lineage: Eukaryota; Metazoa; Chordata; Actinopteri; Cypriniformes; Xenocyprididae. The record is from RefSeq and is a predicted model, not a curated record. The transcript has 2 exons.
UUGAUUCGCGAAUCAGUUUGAAUGAUUUGUUCAGUUCCAGCACGCGCUGAAUCAUUUGAAGCGGUUUCUCACUCGGAGCGUUGGAUGAAGUGGCAGUGGACCUACAAUCAAUUAAAAGCAAAUCUGCAAAUGCAUACAGUUGUUUGCCAGCGAUGAAGACCUUUAUUAGUUGAGCUGCGUAUGCUGUCUGUGAACAAUUCCACAGAGCAGGACCCCAGAUGAAUGAUUGCCUGGGCUGAAAGUACAUGUUUCUCAAGGACCUCUGAUGGGCAGCGGAUAAUAAAAAUGAUGUCGCGGCAAGAGGAAGUGUUCUCUUGGCCCCUCCCCUCUCAUAAUCACAGUCCUCCCGGGCCAUUAUCCCACCCACCAGCACCGCCAAGCAAACUGCCAGGGAGAGCAGCACUCCAGCCGUGCAGUAAUGUUUUGAAGAGUGCGUUUGCAACAGGUCAGGGUGGAGUUUGAAUGUAUGACGAAGAGUGAAUUUGUGUGGUGUGUUUUUCCAGAUACAUAUAGUCUUAUUAUAUUUCAUCCAAGCAGAAAUGAAAAUUAUGAACUGCAGUUCAAUGUGUAAGAUAAAAAUAAUUUGAUUCUCUUAAAA